Long non-coding RNA from Apodemus sylvaticus (European woodmouse), 1456 nucleotides. RefSeq lists it as uncharacterized. The transcript is spliced from 3 exons. Lineage: Eukaryota; Metazoa; Chordata; Mammalia; Rodentia; Muridae. The record is from RefSeq and is a predicted model, not a curated record.
UGUGGAGGGGGAAAAAAAGUUAGAAUUAAAAAAAAAAAGAAACUAUGUUCUAAAUAAGAACACCGUAACUCAUGGAAAUACAAUCGUCCUAUUGAUCAUUUAUUAAGUAUUUAAAGAAGAGGAAUUUUUAAUUGGUCAAGCCAAGUUGCCAGCACUUUCAAGGCCUUCACAGAAGAGAAGUGGUUUUUCUUUAAGCUUUGAUACACUGCCUGCCCAGGCUGGAGCUCUCGACUUGAAUACGGCGAUUACAGUCUCCACCAGGGAGAUACCAGACCUUGGCAGGCAGCCAUACUGACCUGGAGCUUGCCAGAAUGGGAGUAAUUUUUAACUCUUGGAGUGAAGAAAAGAAAAACAAGGAGGCAAGAUACUAUUUGUUUCAACAAACAGAACGUGAAGUUGCUGAGGUUCCCCAAGGCCAUUUCUUUUUCCACUUCCUGGAGUGAAAGUAUAGAAAGAUUUGAUAGGAUGGAAAGAAAUCAGCCAUGGUGGCUGGGUGUGCUCCCUCUGUCCUUCAACACUCUUCCUGUGGUGAACCCGCUGUCCUGCCUUACUGACAGGAGCCAUAUAGAUGGUGAGUCUGUCACCACCGUCAGUCUGGCUGUACAUCAAGCUUUUUGCCUGGAUCUUGACAGAGGAAGACUUUUGACCCCAGGAAGAGACUUUACCCUUCUCAGUCUUGAGGUUCACAUUUGGAAAAAGGAACUGAGCCUGGACGAUGGCCAACAUUUUCUAGCUUUCUUUACUGUCUGUCUCCUGGGACCUCUAAACUCAAGAGCAUAAACUCUCAGGGAAAAGGAAAUCUCAGUGGCCCAUGUAGAGCUUGGACACCUUUCUGGAGCCUGUGGACAGCCAGGACCCAGAUUCCUAAUGGUGGAGGGGAAGGAAUGGCCUGCACUGAGAAAUGCCAAACAAGAAUCUUACACCAAGGUUCCUCCUCUAGGCUGCCCUAGGAAGAAGGGGAGCUUCCUCCUGCCCCUCACCCUAGUGUGUUGUGCUGCCUCUCACUGCCUAUCAGCACGUUGUCUUCAUUUCUCUACAAUUGGCCAGUUCAAGCUUAGAAGGCGGCUGACCAGGCAGUCUGACAGUAGCUGGGAAGGGAAGGGCCAUGCUAGAUGCAAGAAGAACUUAGGCUGGCUGCAGGGCUAGCUUUUCCUUUCUUGGAGCCAUAUUCCCAAAGGACCUCCCAACCAACCAGCUCAUGCAGAAGGUGCCCCUGAGGGCAGUGGGAGAGCCUGACAUCUCAGUCCAUAUGGAAUUCUUCAUGCUUUUGGGAAAUGUUUUGGACCCUUGCACACCAACAGAAAGAGACUGUGAUCUGCAAUUCUAAAGUUCCUAGCCUGUCUUGUGAAGCUUAUGGACUCCUUUGCAUAAAUAUGCCAACAUGCAUAUUGUACUCAAAAUUCAUAGAAUAUGCAAAAUAUGCAUAGCAAGUGCAAAAAUCCAAGUAAGUACAGAG